Molecule: ribosomal RNA, 442 nt
Filed under: uncultured bacterium
Lineage: Bacteria
Description: bacterial SSU rRNA
Rfam family: Bacterial small subunit ribosomal RNA
Source: RNAcentral
UGGAGGCAGCAGUGGGGAAUAUUGCACAAUGGGCGAAAGCCUGAUGCAGCGACGCCGCGUGAGGGAUGACGGCCUUCGGGUUGUAAACCUCUUUCAGCAGGGACGAAGCGAAAGUGACGGUACCUGCAGAAGAAGCACCGGCCAACUACGUGCCAGCAGCCGCGGUAAUACGUAGGGUGCAAGCGUUGUCCGGAAUUAUUGGGCGUAAAGAGCUCGUAGGCGGCUUGUUGCGUCGGCUGUGAAAACCUGGGGCUCAACCCCGGGCCUGCAGCCGAUACGGGCAAGCUAGAAUUCGGUAGGGGAGACUGGAAUUCCUGGUGUAGCGGUGAAAUGCGCAGAUAUCAGGAGGAACCCCGGUGGCGAAGGCGGGUCUCUGGGCCGACAUUGACGCUGAGGAGCGAAAGCGUGGGGAGCGAACAGGAUUAGAUACCCUAGUAGUCGG